GUGCAAAAGUAAUUGCGGGUUUUGCCAUUAAAAGUAAUGGCAAAAACUGCAAUUACUUU
MicroRNA precursor from Pan paniscus (pygmy chimpanzee), 59 nucleotides. The record is from Ensembl. NCBI's taxonomy places the organism in Eukaryota, Metazoa, Chordata, Mammalia, Primates, Hominidae.